UACGAAGGGGGCUAGCGUUGUUCGGAAUCACUGGGCGUAAAGGGCGCGUAGGCGGCCGAUCAAGUCGGGGGUGAAAGCCUGUGGCUCAACCACAGAAUUGCCUUCGAUACUGUUUGGCUUGAGUCCGGAAGAGGUAAGUGGAACUGCGAGUGUAGAGGUGAAAUUCGUAGAUAUUCGCAAGAACACCAGUGGCGAAGGCGGCUUACUGGUCCGGUUCUGACGCUGAGGCGCGAAAGCGUGGGGAGCAAACAGG
Molecule: ribosomal RNA, 253 nt
Filed under: uncultured bacterium
Lineage: Bacteria
Description: partial 16S ribosomal RNA
Rfam family: Bacterial small subunit ribosomal RNA
Source: RNAcentral